This 73-nucleotide transfer RNA is filed under the name Daphnia pulex (common water flea). RNAcentral's name for it is "tRNA-Thr". It matches the Rfam family "tRNA". From Rfam's summary of the family: Transfer RNA (tRNA) molecules are approximately 80 nucleotides in length. Their secondary structure includes four short double-helical elements and three loops (D, anti-codon, and T loops). Further hydrogen bonds mediate the characteristic L-shaped molecular structure. tRNAs have two regions of fundamental functional importance: the anti-codon, which is responsible for specific mRNA codon recognition, and the 3' end, to which the tRNAs corresponding amino acid is attached (by aminoacyl-tRNA synthetases). tRNAs cope with the degeneracy of the genetic code in two manners: having more than one tRNA (with a specific anti-codon) for a particular amino acid; and 'wobble' base-pairing, i.e. permitting non-standard base-pairing at the 3rd anti-codon position. Lineage: Eukaryota; Metazoa; Arthropoda; Branchiopoda; Diplostraca; Daphniidae. The record is from RNAcentral.
GGUACAAUGGCUGAGAUGGCAAAGCGCCUGCCUAGUAAGCAGGAGAUCACGAGUUCGAGUCUCGUUGGUACCU